GGAAGGGAAGCGUCCCCGGUGGGGCGGCCGGACUUCAAAUCCGGAGACGGUCGUUCGACGGCUGUUGGUGGGUUCGACUCCUACCCCUUCCGCCA
Molecule: transfer RNA, 95 nt
Filed under: Rhodospirillales bacterium
Lineage: Bacteria; Pseudomonadati; Pseudomonadota; Alphaproteobacteria; Rhodospirillales
Description: tRNA-Sec
Rfam family: Selenocysteine transfer RNA
Source: RNAcentral